GUCCUUUCCAGUCUGCAAGCAUGAUGACUGGGUGUCCACGCAUUUGUGUGGCCUGUGCCUCCCUUAUAUCUUGUUAUAGCACCACCGUAUUACCCAUCCGAUG
Sorex fumeus (smoky shrew) is the source of this 103-nucleotide small nucleolar RNA. RefSeq annotates it as small nucleolar RNA U13. The record is from RefSeq and is a predicted model, not a curated record. The transcript has a single exon. NCBI's taxonomy places the organism in Eukaryota, Metazoa, Chordata, Mammalia, Eulipotyphla, Soricidae.